CCACCUGGAUUCUAUGGAGUGAACUGUGACAAAGCAAACUGCUCAACCACCUGCUUUAAUGGAGGGACCUGUUUCUACCCUGGAAAAUGUAUUUGCCCUCCAGGACUAGAGGGAGAGCAGUGUGAAAUCAGCAAAUGCCCACAACCCUGUCGAAAUGGAGGUAAAUGCAUUGGUAAAAGCAAAUGUAAGUGUUCCAAAGGUUACCAGGGAGACCUCUGUUCAAAGCCUGUCUGCGAGCCUGGCUGUGGUGCACAUGGAACCUGCCAUGAACCCAACAAAUGCCAAUGUCAAGAAGGUUGGCAUGGAAGACACUGCAAUAAAAGGUACGAAGCCAGCCUCAUACAUGCCCUGAGGCCAGCAGGCGCCCAGCUCAGGCAGCACACGCCUUCACUUAAAAAGGCCGAGGAGCGGCGGGAUCCACCUGAAUCCAAUUACAUCUGGUGAACUCCGACAUCUGAAACGUUUUAAGUUACACCAAGUUCAUAGCCUUUGUUAACCUUUCAUGUGUUGAAUGUUCAAAUAAUGUUCAUUACACUUAAGAAUACUGGCCUGAAUUUUAUUAGCUUCAUUAUAAAUCACUGAGCUGAUAUUUACUCUUCCUUUUAAGUUUUCUAAGUACGUCUGUAGCAUGAUGGUAUAGAUUUUCUUGUUUCAGUGCUUUGGGACAGAUUUUAUAUUAUGUCAAUUGAUCAGGUUAAAAUUUUCAGUGUGUAGUUGGCAGAUAUUUUCAAAAUUACAAUGCAUUUAUGGUGUCUGGGGGCAGGGGAACAUCAGAAAGGUUAAAUUGGGCAAAAAUGCGUAAGUCACAAGAAUUUGGAUGGUGCAGUUAAUGUUGAAGUUACAGCAUUUCAGAUUUUAUUGUCAGAUAUUUAGAUGUUUGUUACAUUUUUAAAAAUUGCUCUUAAUUUUUAAACUCUCAAUACAAUAUAUUUUGACCUUACCAUUAUUCCAGAGAUUCAGUAUUAA
RNAcentral lists this long non-coding RNA (966 nucleotides) under Homo sapiens (human). RNAcentral's name for it is "HSALNT0190588". The record is from RNAcentral. Lineage: Eukaryota; Metazoa; Chordata; Mammalia; Primates; Hominidae.